RNAcentral lists this long non-coding RNA (1046 nucleotides) under Equus asinus (donkey). RNAcentral describes it as "lncRNA (ENSEASG00005031095.1)". The record is from RNAcentral. Lineage: Eukaryota; Metazoa; Chordata; Mammalia; Perissodactyla; Equidae.
UAAUUAUUUCCAUUUUACAAAUAGGGAAACUGAGGUUGACAGGUUAGGUGGCAUAUCUCAGGUGACAGUAAAUGAGUAGGAGAUGUGGGGCUCAGAAUUCUGAGAGUUUUAUAAAAUCAUGAAAGAUAAUCAAAACACAGAUUGAGGGAACUCAGAGAACCCCUGACUGGGUAAAUUCCAGAAAGCAUAUGCAUGCACACACACACACACACACACACACACACACACACACAGGUAAAUCCUAGUUAACCUGCUGAGAAUCAAAGGAAAAGAGAAAAACCAUAAUGGCAUUCAGAGGGAAAAGACCAUUAAACAACAUCACACGUGAAAGCUUCCCAACUGUGGGUGUGAUGACUAGACGCCUCUCCGUCAGCACUGGCUUGUUUCUCCUUCUCCCUGCAUCACCGUCUGGCAGAUGCUGGACACAAGCAGGACAUUACACGGGAGAAAUGUUCUGGCCAGUGCAGGCCAUGCAGGAAGGCAACAGCAAGGAGACAGGGGCGGGUAUGGGUGGUGCCAGGUGAGAGUCGGGAGAGGGAGAGUGUUCUUUUCAGCCCUGUUGAUGGUAGCGGGUCUCAUGGUGCAGGAGUGUGUCGGGGUUAUUUUAAUCAAGCCCCUGUCAAGGUUGAUGCUGACACACAGUCUGAGGCCCCUGCCCUGUGUUACCCUGCCUUCUGCUGACGUCCAUCCCUUGAACGGACAAAUGGGAAGCUGCUGUGCUCACUUUGGCAAAGUGUUGGGGAGGCACAGCUGGUCCAGUUCCAGCCUUUCAUUGGAGGUUCCGUUCAGUGGCCUGUGCAGCUCCCAGCCCAGCAGAGCUGAGCUCUGCCUCCUCCUCAGAACCCCCUGUGAGCCCUGCCCAAGGACCUGGGCAGCAUUUCAGGGCUCCUCCUGCAACUUGUCCACGAUGAACUCACCUGCUUCAAAGGCGAGGAUCACCGUGUGAGUGCUCAACUAGGAACUCUACUGGGCUCUUUUCCCUCACUGAAAUCCUGGAAGCACCUGCCAUCGCCAUCUGCAUUUUACCAACGAGGAGCCUGAGGAUC